This 273-nucleotide ribosomal RNA is filed under the name uncultured bacterium. Its description in RNAcentral is "partial 16S ribosomal RNA". It matches the Rfam family "Bacterial small subunit ribosomal RNA", at positions 524 to 796 of the family's 1533-position model. The record is from RNAcentral.
UACGGGGGAGCAAGCGUUGUUCGGAUUUACUGGGCGUAAAGGGCGCGUAGGCGGCCACCGCAAGUCGACUGUGAAAUCUCCGGGCUUAACCCGGAAAGGUCAGCCGAUACUGCGGGGCUAGAGUGCAGAAGGGGCAACUGGAAUUCUCGGUGUAGCGGUGAAAUGCGUAGAUAUCGAGAGGAACACCUGCGGCGAAGGCGGGUUGCUGGGCUGACACUGACGCUGAGGCGCGAAAGCUAGGGGAGCGAACGGGAUUAGAUACCCCCGUAGUCC